Molecule: ribosomal RNA, 522 nt
Filed under: uncultured bacterium
Lineage: Bacteria
Description: partial 16S ribosomal RNA
Rfam family: Bacterial small subunit ribosomal RNA
Source: RNAcentral
GACGAACGCUGGCGGCGUGCCUAAUACAUGCAAGUCGAACGCAAAACUUUCACCGAGUGCUUGCAUUCACGAAAGUUUUGAGUGGCGAACGGGUGAGUAACACGUGGGUAACCUGCCCAGAAGAGGGGGAUAACACUUGGAAACAGGUGCUAAUACCGCAUAAUAACAAAAACCGCAUGGUUUUUGUUUGAAAGAUGGUUUUGCUAUCACUUCCGGAUGGACCCGCGGCGUAUUAGCUAGUUGGUAAGGUAAAGGCUUACCAAGGCAAUGAUACGUAGCCGAACUGAGAGGUUGAUCGGCCACAUUGGGACUGAGACACGGCCCAAACUCCUACGGGAGGCAGCAGUAGGGAAUCUUCCACAAUGGACGAAAGUCUGAUGGAGCAACGCCGCGUGAGUGAAGAAGGUUUUCGGAUCGUAAAACUCUGUUGUUAGAGAAGAACGUGUGUGAGAGUAACUGCUCAUGCAGUGACGGUAUCUAACCAGAAAGCCACGGCUAACUACGUGCCAGCAGCCGCCGUAA